This is a small nucleolar RNA of Tachyglossus aculeatus (Australian echidna), 133 nucleotides long. Lineage: Eukaryota; Metazoa; Chordata; Mammalia; Monotremata; Tachyglossidae. The record is from RefSeq and is a predicted model, not a curated record.
ACCCUCUCGGGAUCGCACCCGGAGAGUUUCCAGUCCUCUACCGCUCUCGGCUACGGGAGGGAGAGUCAAGCAGAGGCCUACCCAUUCCUAGCUUGGGCAGUAGCUAGCGAGUGGAAGGCAAUCUGCUACAAGU